RNAcentral lists this ribosomal RNA (468 nucleotides) under uncultured bacterium. RNAcentral describes it as "partial 16S ribosomal RNA". It matches the Rfam family "Bacterial small subunit ribosomal RNA", at positions 28 to 507 of the family's 1533-position model. The record is from RNAcentral.
GACGAACGCUGGCGGCGUGCUUAACACAUGCAAGUCGAACGGAAAGGCCCUGCUUUUGUGGGGUGCUCGAGUGGCGAACGGGUGAGUAACACGUGAGUAACCUGCCCUUGACUUUGGGAUAACUUCAGGAAACUGGGGCUAAUACCGGAUAGGAGCUCCUGCUGCAUGGUGGGGGUUGGAAAGUUUCGGCGGUUGGGGAUGGACUCGCGGCUUAUCAGCUUGUUGGUGGGGUAGUGGCUUACCAAGGCUUUGACGGGUAGCCGGCCUGAGAGGGUGACCGGCCACAUUGGGACUGAGAUACGGCACAGACUCCUACGGGAGGCAGAAGUGGAGAAUAUUGCACAAUGGGCGGAAGCCUGAUGCAGCAACGCCGCGUGCGGGAUGACGGCCUUCGGGUUGUAAACCGCUUUCGCCUGUGACGAAGCGUGAGUGACGGUAAUGGGUAAAGAAGCACCGGCUAACUACGUG